Molecule: ribosomal RNA, 1276 nt
Filed under: metagenome
Description: SSU rRNA
Rfam family: Eukaryotic small subunit ribosomal RNA
Source: RNAcentral
AUAACAAUGCGGGACUCUUAUGAGGCUUCGUAAUUGGAAUGAGUACAUUCUAAAUCCUUUAACGAGGAACUAUUGGAGGGCAAGUCUGGUGCCAGCAGCCGCGGUAAUUCCAGCUCCAAUAGCGUAUAUUAAAGUUGUUGCGUCUAAAAAGCUCGUAGUUUGAAAACUUGCCUUGGCUUACAACAGACGUCUAAGGGCGUCACCGUUUGUCGAGAGCAAAUAUGGGUGACUGUUCUUGCCUUCUUCACUGAUUGGCUCGUAAAAGUCAUCGAAGAUCACUUUGAUUAAAUUAGGGUGCUCAAAGCAAGUGUGCUACUUGAAUAUGAAUGCAUGGAAUGAUGGAAUAUGUUGUUGUUCUAUUUGUUGGUUUUUUUAAUGACGAAAUGAUUGAAAGGAACCGUUGGGGGCAUUCGUAUUGUUGUGAGAGAGGUGAAAUUCUUAGACCAUAGCAAGACGAACUACUGCGAAAGCAUUUGCCAAGAAUGUUUUCAUUGAUCAAGAACGAAAGUUAGAGGUUCGAAGGCGAUCAGAUACCGCCCUAGUUCUAACCAUAAACUAUGCCGACUAGCAAUUUGCUUUGUAUUUUUAUGACUAAGUGAGAGGCCACGGGAAACCAAAGUAGGGUUAUGGGGGAAGUAUGGUUGCAAAGCUGAAACUUAAAGGAAUUGACGGAAGGGCACCACCAGGAGUGGAGCCUGCGGCUUAAUUUGACCCAACACGGGAAAACUUACCUGGUCCUGACACUAGAAGGAUUGACAGAUUGAUAGCUCUUUCUUGAUUUGGUGGAUGGUGGUGCAUGGCCGUUCUUAGUUGGUGGAGUGAUUUGUCUGGUUAUUUCCGAUAACGAACGAGACUCUAGCCUAUUAAAUAAUAUGCGGAAUCAAUUUCUCCCGCGUUAUUUCUUAAUGGGAUCAAGCGUGUUUAACGCUUUGAAACAGAGCAAUAACAGGUCUGUGAUGCCCUUAGAUGUUCGGGGCUGCACGCGCGCUACAUUGAAGAACAAAGUGAGCCCUCUGGCUUUUAACAAAGCUAGAAAUCUUUUAAUGUUCUUCUUAAUGGGGAUAGGGGAUUGCAAUUGUGCCCCUUGAACGAGGAAUUCCCAGUAAGUGCUAGUCAUUAGCUAGUACUGAUUACGUCCCUGCCCUUUGUACACACCGCCCGUCGCUACUACCGAUUGAAUAGUUUAGUGAGAUCAUCUGAGUGUUUGUAUGUGCAUUCUGUGCUUGUAUGGUGUACGAAGAAGAUCAAACUUGAUUAUUUAGAGGAAGUAAAAGUC